This 939-nucleotide non-coding RNA is filed under the name Dinomys branickii (pacarana). RNAcentral's name for it is "partial 12S small subunit ribosomal RNA". It matches the Rfam family "Bacterial small subunit ribosomal RNA". The record is from RNAcentral. Lineage: Eukaryota; Metazoa; Chordata; Mammalia; Rodentia; Dinomyidae.
AGAGGUUUGGUCCUAGCUUUCUUAUUGGUUGUGUGCAAAAUUAUACAUGCAAGACUCCUCAGCCCAGUGAGAAUGCCCUCAAAAUCUAAUUCAGACCAAAAGGAGCUGGCAUCAGGCACACUUUAAAGUAGCCCUAAACGCCUUGUGAAACCACACCCCCACGGGAUACAGCAGUAAUAAAACUUAAGCAAUGAACGAAAGUUUGACUAAGUUAUGCAUACACAAGGGUUGGUAAAUCUCGUGCCAGCCACCGCGGUCAUACGAUUAACCCAAAUUAAUAAGCUAACGGCGUAAAGAGUGUUAAAGACUCAAAAGAAAAUAAGAUCAAAUUUUAUUUAAGUCGUAAAAAACUCCAAAUAAAAGUAAGCCCAAUAAACGAAAGUAAUCUUAACUAACCUAACACACGAAAGCUAGGACCCAAACUGGGAUUAGAUACCCCACUAUGCCUAGCCGUAAACAUAAAAACUUCACAACAAAAAUUUUCGCCAGAGAACUACUAGCAACAGCUUAAAACUCAAAGGACUUGGCGGUGCUUUAUAUCCACCUAGAGGAGCCUGUUCUAUAAUCGAUAAACCCCGAUCAACCUCACCAUUUCUUGCUAAUCCAGCCUAUAUACCGCCAUCUUCAGCUAACCUUAAUAAAGGAAAAAAGUAAGCACAAUAACCCUCGUAAAAACGUUAGGUCAAGGUGUAGCCUAUGAAAUGGGAAGAAAUGGGCUACAUUCUCUUGACAAGAAAACUAUACGGAUAUCCUUAUGAAACUUAAAGAUUUAAGGAGGAUUUAGUAGUAAAUUAAGAAUAGAGAGCUUAAUUGAACUAGGCCAUGAAGCACGUACACACCGCCCGUCACCCUCCUCAAGCAUUCAUCUCAACUUCCAAUAAACGCAAGAGGAGAUAAGUCGUAACAAGGUAAGCGUACUGGAAAGUGUGCUUGGACGAA